CGUUAUAACCGGCGAUUUCCGAAUGGGGAAACCCAGUGUGAUUCGUCACACUAUCAUUAACUGAAUCCAUAGGUUAAUGAGGCGAACCGGGGGAACUGAAACAUCUAAGUACCCCGAGGAAAAGAAAUCAACCGAGAUUCCCCCAGUAGCGGCGAGCGAACGGGGAGGAGCCCAGAGCCUGAAUCAGCAUGUGUGUUAGUGGAAGCGUCUGGAAAGGCGCGCGAUACAGGGUGACAGCCCCGUACACAAAAGCGCAUGUGCUGUGAGCUCGAUGAGUAGGGCGGGACACGUGGUAUCCUGUCUGAAUAUGGGGGGACCAUCCUCCAAGGCUAAAUACUCCUGACUGACCGAUAGUGAACCAGUACCGUGAGGGAAAGGCGAAAAGAACCCCGGCGAGGGGAGUGAAAAAGAACCUGAAACCGUGUACGUAC
RNAcentral lists this ribosomal RNA (431 nucleotides) under Salmonella enterica subsp. enterica serovar Agona. Its description in RNAcentral is "partial 23S ribosomal RNA". It matches the Rfam family "Bacterial large subunit ribosomal RNA", at positions 96 to 567 of the family's 2925-position model. Lineage: Bacteria; Pseudomonadati; Pseudomonadota; Gammaproteobacteria; Enterobacterales; Enterobacteriaceae. The record is from RNAcentral.